Molecule: transfer RNA, 71 nt
Filed under: Loxodonta africana (African savanna elephant)
Lineage: Eukaryota; Metazoa; Chordata; Mammalia; Proboscidea; Elephantidae
Rfam family: tRNA
About the family: Transfer RNA (tRNA) molecules are approximately 80 nucleotides in length. Their secondary structure includes four short double-helical elements and three loops (D, anti-codon, and T loops).
Source: Rfam by way of RNAcentral
GCAUUGGUGGUUCAGUGGUAGAAUUCUCACCUUCCAUGAGGGAGAUCCAGGUUCGAUUCCCGGCCAAUACA